GAAAUGCGAUAAGUAAUGUGAAUUGCAGAAUUCAGUGAAUCAUCGAAUCUUUGAACGCACAUUGCGCCCGCUGGUAUUCCAGCGGGCAUGCCUGUUCGAGCGUCAUUUCAACCCUCAAAACUUCGGUUUUGGUGUUGGAGGAUUACUUGUAAAAGAGUACCCUCUGAAAUUUAGUGGCGGGCUCGCUAGAAUUUUGAGCGUAGUAAUUUUAUACCUCGUUUAUAAAGUCUAGCGGUUCUCUUGCCGUAAAACCCCCCCAACUUUCUGAAAAUUGACCUCGGAUCAGGUAGGAAUACCCGCUGAACUUAAGCAUAUCAAUAAGCGGAGGAAAAGAAACCAACAGGGAUUGCCCUAGUAACGGCGAGUGAAGCGGCAACAGCUCAAAUUUGAAAUCUGGCUUCGGCCCGAGUUGUAAUUUGCAGAGGAUGUUUAUGGUGCGGUACCUUCCGAGUUCCCUGG
This 459-nucleotide ribosomal RNA is filed under the name Sordariomycetes sp. genotype 758 JMUR-2016. RNAcentral's name for it is "eukaryotic LSU rRNA". The stretch from base 273 to 459 matches the Rfam family "Eukaryotic large subunit ribosomal RNA", at positions 1 to 193 of the family's 3401-position model. The record is from RNAcentral. Lineage: Eukaryota; Fungi; Ascomycota; Sordariomycetes.